UACGAAGGGGGCAAACGUUGCUCGGAAUCAUUGGGCGUAAAGCGCACGUAGGCGGCUUGCCAAGUCGGACGUGAAAUCCCUCAGCUCAACUGAGGACGUGCAUCCGAAACUGGCGAGCUUGAGUGCUGAAGAGGAUCGCGGAAUUCCCGGUGUAGAGGUGAAAUUCGUAGAUAUCGGGAGGAACACCAGUGGCGAAGGCGGCGCCCUGGACGGACACUGACGCUGAGACGCGAAAGCGUGGGGAGCAAACAGG
Molecule: ribosomal RNA, 253 nt
Filed under: uncultured bacterium
Lineage: Bacteria
Description: partial 16S ribosomal RNA
Rfam family: Bacterial small subunit ribosomal RNA
Source: RNAcentral